AUUAGUUACCAUCAGGUAAGGCGUGGGGACUCUAAUGAGACUGCCAUCGUAAGAUGUGAGGAAGGGUGGGGAUGACGUCAAAUCAGCACCGGCCCUUACGUCCGGGGCGACACACGUGUUACAAUGGGUGGUACAAAGGGCAGCUACCUGGCGACAGGAUGCUAAUCUCCAAAACCACUCUCAGUUCGGAUCGGAGUCUGCAACUCGACUCCGUGAAGCUGGAUUCGCUAGUAAUCGCGCAUCAGCCACGGCGCGGUGAAUACGUUCCCGGGCCUU
RNAcentral lists this ribosomal RNA (276 nucleotides) under uncultured Proteiniphilum sp. Its description in RNAcentral is "partial 16S ribosomal RNA". It matches the Rfam family "Bacterial small subunit ribosomal RNA", at positions 1110 to 1382 of the family's 1533-position model. The record is from RNAcentral. Lineage: Bacteria; Pseudomonadati; Bacteroidota; Bacteroidia; Bacteroidales; Dysgonomonadaceae.